Molecule: ribosomal RNA, 253 nt
Filed under: uncultured bacterium
Lineage: Bacteria
Description: partial 16S ribosomal RNA
Rfam family: Bacterial small subunit ribosomal RNA
Source: RNAcentral
GACGAAGGAUCCAAGCGUUAUCCGGAUUUAUUGGGUUUAAAGGGUGCGUAGGCGGAAUAAUAAGUCAGUGGUGAAAGCCCAAAGCUCAACUUUGGAACUGCCAUUGAUACUGUUAUUCUUGAGUAUGUUUGAAGUGGGCGGAAUGUAUUGUGUAGCGGUGAAAUGCUUAGAUAUAAUACAGAACACCAAUUGCGAAGGCAGCUCACUAAACCAUAACUGACGCUGAGGCACGAAAGCAUGGGGAGCAAACAGG